AGGAUAAAAUUAUAAGACGAGAAGACCCUAUGGAGCUUUAAACAAUAUAGCAUCUGCCCCCGACAUAAAAAUUUCUGAAUCUUAAACCCGUUAGGCAGUAUAACUAUAAGUUUUUGGUUGGGGUGACCACGGAGCAUAAAACAACCUCCACGCUGAAAGAAUCUUUUUUAAGCUAAGAAUUACCUAUCUAAGCAUCAAUUUAUUGACACCCAUUGACCCAAUAUAUUUGAACAACGAACCAAGUUACCCUAGGGAUAACAGCGCAAUCCACUUCAAGAGCCCCUAUCGACAAGUGGGUUUACGACCUCGAUGUUGGAUCAGGGUUUCCCAGUGGUGCAGCCGCUACUAAAGGUUCGUUUGUUCAACGAUUAAAACCCUACG
RNAcentral lists this ribosomal RNA (381 nucleotides) under Wolterstorffina parvipalmata (Cameroon Wolterstorff Toad). Its description in RNAcentral is "partial 16S ribosomal RNA". It matches the Rfam family "Bacterial large subunit ribosomal RNA", at positions 2076 to 2600 of the family's 2925-position model. The record is from RNAcentral. Lineage: Eukaryota; Metazoa; Chordata; Amphibia; Anura; Bufonidae.